RNAcentral lists this transfer RNA (74 nucleotides) under Ailuropoda melanoleuca (giant panda). It matches the Rfam family "tRNA". Rfam says of the family: Transfer RNA (tRNA) molecules are approximately 80 nucleotides in length. The record is from Rfam by way of RNAcentral. Lineage: Eukaryota; Metazoa; Chordata; Mammalia; Carnivora; Ursidae.
GCCUGGCUGGUUCAGUUAUGUAGAGCAUGUGACUCUUGAUCUUGGGGUCAUGAGUUCAAGCCCCAUGUUGGGUG